AAGUCGUAACAAGGUUUCCGUAGGUGAACCUGCGGAAGGAUCAUUAACACGUGUUUAUUCACGUACAACGAAAGUGAACUGUACCUCUUUGUCCUAUUGUCGUUUAAUGAGUGGUUGCGGGAGAAUGGUGCGAGGGUCGACCGGCUUCUAAACCGGUUGGCACCUCUUACUCGCGGCCUAUGGUCCAGUCUCACGACUGAGAUCAAGCUUGUGGCGGCAGUAGUAGAUUCGUUCUGAACUGUGAUCCAGCGCCUGGGCUUCACAGUUUGGGGCAACACUAUUUUAUUGCCCAUAACCUUUUUUAUCUGAUCUAAUUCUUGUUGAUAUUGGACGAUCUCCUGGUCGCGAGACUGGUCGACGGCUGUCUAAUGUUAACACAAAAAUAAAUACGAAACAACUCUUAGCAACGGAUAUCUUGGUUCUC
Molecule: unclassified non-coding RNA, 424 nt
Filed under: fungal sp.
Lineage: Eukaryota; Fungi
Description: partial internal transcribed spacer region
Rfam family: Eukaryotic small subunit ribosomal RNA (bases 1-46)
Source: RNAcentral